GUUUACGGCCAUACCACCCUGAAUGUGCCCAAUCUUGUCUGGUCUCAAAAGCUAAACAGGGUCAGGCCUGACUAGUACUUGGAUGGGAGACAAAUAUUCAAAAGAGACUGCUCAGAGACAAACA
Molecule: ribosomal RNA, 124 nt
Filed under: Castor canadensis (American beaver)
Lineage: Eukaryota; Metazoa; Chordata; Mammalia; Rodentia; Castoridae
Source: RNAcentral